RNAcentral lists this ribosomal RNA (367 nucleotides) under Saccharomycetes sp. HZ4. RNAcentral describes it as "eukaryotic LSU rRNA". The stretch from base 112 to 267 matches the Rfam family "5.8S ribosomal RNA". The record is from RNAcentral. Lineage: Eukaryota; Fungi; Ascomycota; Saccharomycetes.
CCUUCCGUAGGUGAACCUGCGGAAGGAUCAUACAAAACUGCGGCGCAAGCCGUAGCCAAAACACACUGAGUAAAAAAUCUUGGCUAAUACACAUACAACCGAUUUAUCUAAAUCUCCUCCCAACGGAUCUCUUGGCUCUCGCGACGAUGAAGAACGCAGCGAUCCGCGAUACGUCCUGGAAGCCGCCGUGAACCAUCAAUUUUCGAACGCACAUUGCAUACAGGGAGGGUGGGGUGAGUCAAUUCUCACACUCGUGGUCUAGUUUACAAAGGAUGACUAAUAACUUCGUCAGCCCUUACCGUUUUCUCCCCCGCCCCCUCAGAUUACCCGCUGAACUUAAGCAUAUCAAUAAGCGGAGGAAAAACUG